This is a long non-coding RNA of Parus major (Great Tit), 1816 nucleotides long. Ensembl annotates it as pancreatic progenitor cell differentiation and proliferation factor like. NCBI's taxonomy places the organism in Eukaryota, Metazoa, Chordata, Aves, Passeriformes, Paridae. The record is from Ensembl.
GAGCAGCAGCAAGGCCUGAGGGUGCCGGUGCGGGGCUGUCCCGGGCCGACCCGGGCGGCUGCGGCCGAGGCUGAGGCCUCCUUCCCCCGCCGCCGCCCCGCUCGCGUCCCGCCUGUGCCACCGCCCCGGGGCGGGGGGAGCCGCCUGCCGCGGCCCAUAAAGCGCGGCCGGGGCCUGCCGGAGCUGCCAGCGGAGCGGGGUCCCCUUUCUGCCUCUCGACCGCCGCUGUCCCUGGGACACGCAGGCUCGCCCCGGAGAAAGCCGGAUUCCCCUGGAGUCGCUGCCAUGGCCUCCGUCCCCUCCGCCGGCUGCCUCCUGGCCAAGAACCAGUACUACAGGACAAGACUGAACUCGGAAUCCAGCGUUUCUUCUGGCUCUUCCUGCUGUUUGGAUGCUGUGAACGUCACAGAGCAGGACAAAGCAAUGAAUGGUUUACCAGAGUUAGUUGAUAAAUAUUGGUGGAUAAAAAGCUUCUUCCAUAGCGAACCUUCUCCACCAACUGUUGGAAGAAAAACACUCUCAGCAAGCAGUACCAACAGUUGAAAAGGACAGCGUGAUGGCUUUUCUGACUGAGAUGCUACAUACAGACUUGUUUUUCCAAGAGGCUUGGGGUCUUCCUAAUGUCUGGGUUCAGCUGCAAGAAGAAAACAAAACCUUUAGGAGAGUGGAAAAGCGUAUUUUCAAAAUAUUUGUCAGUAGCUAAAAUGAUAUUGCUUAAUGGACAUAUCCAUGGCCUACCGUGUUCUUUCCAGAUUUGCAAUAAUUUGUGAUGUUUCUCUAAUGGAAGUUUCAAGGACUAAACAUCCUGAUGACUUACUUGAAUAAUUAGAGAAAAGUGACAGUAAAAAUAAGACGUCAUAGGUUUAGGAGGAAGAUGCGUGAUUCAGUUAAGUUGCCUUCAAGAUACCAGCUCUUUAGGCAGUCACACUGAUGUAAACAGGAUUCAGACCUAUAAUCCAGAGCAGGACUGCUGUGUGGCACUUGUAUCCAGUAUUUAUGUACCAGUUACAGGGGUAAGUUUACAAGAAUGCUUGUCAAUAACUUUUUUUAAAAUUUUUUUAAAAACUCCAAUUAUAUGAACAAGCAAUAAUCAGUUUGGUUUCUUUGAUCAAGCAGAGUGCAUAGAUCCCAACUUCUACAAGUACCCAUGUACCACUUUCAUUCCUACCUAUGGAUGCUGGUAUUUGAGGACAGAAUAGAGGAGAUGCACAAGAAACCAGUAAUCCUAAUAGAAACUGACCUCUUCCAAGGGGAAGAGCAGCCUUAAUCAGUUGAUACUUCUAGUUAGAUUUUUUCUGCCUGUUUUGUUGUGGCUUAAAGAUCUACUUGUUCCUAAGUGACUAAUUCUAUAAAUAUUCUGCUGUCUAUCUUACUAGUUAUGAGGGCUAGAUCUGGCAAAGGAUUCCACUCAAAGUAAUCACAUUCUUGUUGUUAUCCAAGUGUACCUUUGACAUGCUCUUGAAAGGUACUAUAACAUUGCAGUGCUGAAGAUUAAAUGAAGCUAAUUAGUAUAACGAUUGUUUAUUCUACUGGCCAUGACUGAAAUGCAUCAAGGAUUAUGGAAAAUAGCAAGUAUUUGGCUGGAUGAUAACAUUUGUGACAAGUAUCUAUGCAACUUUUUGAUGAACUAUCACUAAACCUGCUGGAUAUUUGUUCAUCACUGGAUGAACUAACAGUAGCAAACAUUUACGUAGCCAGCAUCUUUUUAUUAUAGGUUAAUGGUUGUCAUGGUUAUGCAUAACUCCAAGGUGUAUGAAGUGGCUGCUUCAGGGCGUUUACAGUCUUGAUGGAGGCAAUAAAUGCAUGGCAGAUGACA